CCUACUCUCUCCUUCACUUCCUUCCCUUACAGCUUCUUGCACUGUUUUGAAGAAGAAGCCCAGCGUUCUCCAGGAUUUUUAUGCAUUCGAUUUCUACAUCUUUUACGUGUGAUCUCUGUGGCUUUAAGAUCCCAUAAGUUGAGUGGGCUCCCCCGUUAUCUAAGAAAAGUUGUUUAAAUGCUUUGCUCUGCAAGCACCAGCAGAGAACUCAUAAAAACGGAAGACAGUAGCAGAUGCAAUCGCGGAUGUGGCUUUAGUCUUUGCAGCUGCCCCAGAGAGCUGUUCAGAGCAGACAGUCCUCAGCAAUGAAUCCAGAAGAGCAAAUCGUGACAUGGCUUAUAUCCUUGGGGGUUUUAGAUUCCCCCAAAAAGACCAUCUGUGAUCCGGAGGAGUUCUUGAAGUCUUCGCUGAAAAAUGGGGUAGUGCUGUGCAAACUGAUCAACAGACUUAGGCCUGGCUCUCUAGAAAAGUUCUGUUUGGAGCCGCAAACCGAAGCCGACUGCCUCAACAACAUCAGUGACUUCCUGAAAGGAUGUGCAACCCUUCAGGUGGAGGUAAGCCCGCCCAGGCCCUGCUAAGGAAGAUGCUGUUGUACUAAAAGCGCUUGGUUGAUUUUGACCCUUGAACAGAGGUAGCGCUUCAGGGAAACCGUGGUUAAGAUUGGUGGUCUGCAGUGGUGGCUCGUCAGUCUGCCUUUUCCAGAAACCAGUUCCGAAGCAAAAGAAAACAAAAUCUACAACUCACAAUGUGAUAUAU
Herpailurus yagouaroundi (jaguarundi) is the source of this 756-nucleotide long non-coding RNA. RefSeq lists it as uncharacterized. The record is from RefSeq and is a predicted model, not a curated record. The transcript has 3 exons. NCBI's taxonomy places the organism in Eukaryota, Metazoa, Chordata, Mammalia, Carnivora, Felidae.